CACCACAGCCAUGUCACCCUGCAGCCCAAGACCGGUUACUCACUGAAGCUAAGCAGGGCUGAGCCUGGUCAGUACCUGGAUGGGAGACCACUAGGGAACGCUAGCUUGCUGUUGGAA
Ribosomal RNA from Danio rerio (zebrafish), 117 nucleotides. The record is from Ensembl. NCBI's taxonomy places the organism in Eukaryota, Metazoa, Chordata, Actinopteri, Cypriniformes, Danionidae.